GACGAACGCUGGCGGCGUGCUUAACACAUGCAAGUCGAGCGGUAAGGCCCUUCGGGGUACACGAGCGGCGAACGGGUGAGUAACACGUGGGUGACCUGCCCUUAGCUCUGGGAUAAGCCUGGGAAACUGGGUCUAAUACCGGAUAUGACCUCAUGACGCAUGUUGUGGGGUGGAAAGCCUUGUGCGGCUAGGGAUGGGCCCGCGGCCUAUCAGCUUGUUGGUGGGGUGAUGGCCUACCAAGGCGACGACGGUAGCCGGCCUGAGAGGGCGACCGGCCACACUGGGACUGAGACACGGCCCAGACUCCUACGGGAGGCAGCAGUGGGGAAUCUUGCGCAAUGGGCGAAAGCCUGACGCAGCGACGCCGCGUGA
RNAcentral lists this ribosomal RNA (372 nucleotides) under uncultured bacterium. RNAcentral's name for it is "bacterial SSU rRNA". It matches the Rfam family "Bacterial small subunit ribosomal RNA", at positions 28 to 404 of the family's 1533-position model. The record is from RNAcentral.